RNAcentral lists this ribosomal RNA (441 nucleotides) under uncultured bacterium. Its description in RNAcentral is "bacterial SSU rRNA". It matches the Rfam family "Bacterial small subunit ribosomal RNA", at positions 97 to 520 of the family's 1533-position model. The record is from RNAcentral.
GGCGAACGGGUGCGUAACACGUGAGCGACCUACCGCGGUGCGGGGGAUAGCCGGCCCAACGGCCGGGUAAUACCGCAUACGUUCCUUUGGGGGCAUCCCUGGGGGAGGAAACCUGUGGUGCAAGCCAUGGGGCAGCGCGAGGGGCUCGCGGCUAUCAGCUAGUUGGCGGGGUAACGGCCCACCAAGGCGAUGACGGGUAGCUGGUCUGAGAGGAUGGCCAGCCACAUUGGGACUGAGAGACGGCCCAGACUCCAUACGGGAGGCAGCAGUGGGGAAUCUUGCGCAAUGGGCGAAAGCCUGACGCAGCGACGCCGUGUGAGGGAAGAAGGCCUUCAGGUUGUAAACCUCUUUCAGGAGGGACGAAGCCACUCGGGUUAAUAGCCCAGAGGGUGACGGUACCUCCGGAAGAAGCCCCGGCUAACUACGUGCCAGCAGCCGCGG